UACGUAGGGUGCAAGCGUUAAUCGGAAUUACUGGGCGUAAAGCGUGCGCAGGCGGCUUUGUAAGACAGAUGUGAAAUCCCCGGGCUCAACCUGGGAACUGCAUUUGUGACUGCAAAGCUGGAGUACGGCAGAGGGGGAUGGAAUUCCGCGUGUAGCAGUGAAAUGCGUAGAUAUGCGGAGGAACACCGAUGGCGAAGGCAAUCCCCUGGGCCUGUACUGACGCUCAUGCACGAAAGCGUGGGGAGCAAACAGG
RNAcentral lists this ribosomal RNA (253 nucleotides) under uncultured bacterium. RNAcentral's name for it is "partial 16S ribosomal RNA". It matches the Rfam family "Bacterial small subunit ribosomal RNA", at positions 524 to 776 of the family's 1533-position model. The record is from RNAcentral.